GAUCCUGGCUCAGAUUGAACGCUGGCGGAAUGCUUUACACAUGCAAGUCGAGCGGCAGCGCGGGGGCAACCCUGGCGGCGAGCGGCGAACGGGUGAGUAACACAUCGGAACGUACCCCGUCGUGGGGGAUAACGAGUCGAAAGAUUCGCUAAUACCGCAUACGACCUGAGGGUGAAAGCGGGGGACCUGCGAGGGCCUCGCGCGAUGGGAGCGGCCGAUGUCCGAUUAGCUAGUUGGUGGGGUAAGAGCCUACCAAGGCGACGAUCGGUAGCUGGUCUGAGAGGAUGAUCAGCCACACUGGGACUGAGACACGGCCCAGACUCCUACGGGAGGCAGCAGUGGGGAAUUUUGGACAAUGGGCGCAAGCCUGAUCCAGCCAUUCCGCGUGAGUGAAGAAGGCCUUCGGGUUGUAAAGCUCUUUCGGCCGGGAAGAAAUCGGGCAGGUGAAUAAUCUGCCUGGAUGACGGUACCGGAAGAAGAAGCACCGGCUAACUACGUGCCAGCAGCCGCGGUAAUACGUAGGGUGCGAGCGUUAAUCGGAAUUACUGGGCGUAAAGCGUGCGCAGGCGGCUUUGUAAGACAGGUGUGAAAUCCCCGGGCUUAACCUGGGAAUGGCGCUUGUGACUGCAAGGCUUGAGUUCGGCAGAGGGGGGUGGAAUUCCACGUGUAGCAGUGAAAUGCGUAGAGAUGUGGAGGAACACCGAUGGCGAAGGCAGCCCCCUGGGUCGCGACUGACGCUCAUGCACGAAAGCGGGGGGAGCAAACAGGAUUAGAUACCCUGGUAGUCCACGCCCUAAACGAUGUCGACUAGGUGUUGGGGAAGGAGACUUCUUUAGUACCGUAGCUAACGCGUGAAGUCGACCGCCUGGGGAGUACGGUCGCAAGAUUAAAACUCAAAGGAAUUGACGGGGACCCGCACAAGCGGUGGAUGAUGUGGAUUAAUUCGAUGCAACGCGAAAAACCUUACCUACCCUUGACAUGCCAGGAACCUUGCUGAGAGGUGAGGGUGCCCGAAGGGGAGCCUGGACACAGGUGCUGCAUGGCUGUCGUCAGCUCGUGUCGUGAGAUGUUGGGUUAAGUCCCGUAACGAGCGCAACCCUUGUCCUUAGUUGCCAGCGGUUCGGCCGGGAACUCUAAGGAGACUGCCGGUGAUAAACCGGAGGAAGGUGGGGACGACGUCAAGUCAUCAUGGCCCUUAUGGGCAGGGCUACACACGUGCUACAAUGGCCAGUACAGAGGGUUGCCAACCCGCGAGGGGGAGCUAAUCCUGAAAAGCUGGUCGUAGUCCGGAUCGCAGUCUGCAACUCGACUGCGUGAAGUCGGAAUCGCUAGUAAUCGCGAAUUAGCAUGUCGCGGUGAAUACGUUCCCGGGCCUUGUACACACCGCCCGUCACACCAUGGGAGUGGGCUGCACCAGAAGUAGGUUGCUUAACCCGUAAGGGAGGGCGCUUACCACGGUGUGGUUCAUGACUGGGGUGAAGUCGUAACAAGGUA
RNAcentral lists this ribosomal RNA (1494 nucleotides) under metagenome. Its description in RNAcentral is "bacterial SSU rRNA". It matches the Rfam family "Bacterial small subunit ribosomal RNA". The record is from RNAcentral.